GCAUUGGUGGUUCAAUGGUAGAGUUCCUGCUUGCCGUGCAGGAGACCUGGGUUCAAUUCCCAGCCAAUGUA
Molecule: transfer RNA, 71 nt
Filed under: Alligator mississippiensis (American alligator)
Lineage: Eukaryota; Metazoa; Chordata; Crocodylia; Alligatoridae
Description: tRNA-Gly (GCC) (tRNA-Gly-GCC-15-1)
Rfam family: tRNA
About the family: Transfer RNA (tRNA) molecules are approximately 80 nucleotides in length. Their secondary structure includes four short double-helical elements and three loops (D, anti-codon, and T loops). Further hydrogen bonds mediate the characteristic L-shaped molecular structure. tRNAs have two regions of fundamental functional importance: the anti-codon, which is responsible for specific mRNA codon recognition, and the 3' end, to which the tRNAs corresponding amino acid is attached (by aminoacyl-tRNA synthetases). tRNAs cope with the degeneracy of the genetic code in two manners: having more than one tRNA (with a specific anti-codon) for a particular amino acid; and 'wobble' base-pairing, i.e. permitting non-standard base-pairing at the 3rd anti-codon position.
Source: Rfam by way of RNAcentral